Phasianus colchicus (ring-necked pheasant) is the source of this 494-nucleotide non-coding RNA. NCBI's taxonomy places the organism in Eukaryota, Metazoa, Chordata, Aves, Galliformes, Phasianidae. The record is from the annotation of a RefSeq genome assembly.
GGGGGUCUAUGGGUGUCUAUGGGGGUCAAUGGGGGUCAAUGGGGGUCUCAAUGGCGCCCGUCUCCGCGAGGCCGUGUGUCGGCAGCUCUGUCAGCGCCGUCUGUCCUUCCCCACAGGGCUGAUGGCGGCCGUGACGUUGGACGAGUCCGGAGGCGGCCUCCAGGCACCCGGAGGAGGGAUCAGCCUCGUCUGCAAGGCCUCCGGAUUCACCUUCAGCAGUUUUGGCAUGGAAUGGGUGCGACAGGCACCCGGCAAGGGGCUGGAAUGGGUCGCAGGUAUUGGCAGCGCUGGUAGUGGCACAACCUACGCGCCGGCGGUGAAGGGCCGUGCCACCAUCUCCAGGGACAACGGGCAGAGCACAGUGAGGUUGCAGCUGAACAACCUCAGGGCUGAGGACACCGCCACCUAUUACUGCGCCAAAGGUGCUGGUCACGGUGACUCCGAUCCACGGAGCUGCUGGCAUAAAAAGCCAAAUUUUCGAGCAUGAGGUGGUG